RNAcentral lists this ribosomal RNA (253 nucleotides) under uncultured bacterium. RNAcentral's name for it is "partial 16S ribosomal RNA". It matches the Rfam family "Bacterial small subunit ribosomal RNA", at positions 524 to 776 of the family's 1533-position model. The record is from RNAcentral.
UACGUAGGGGGCAAACGUUGCUCGGAAUCACUGGGCAUAAAGCGCACGUAGGUGGCUUGGUAAGUCUGAUGUGAAAUCCCCCGGCUCAACCGGGGAACUGCGUUGGAUACUGCCGAGCUUGAGGACUGGAGGGGAGACUGGAAUUCCUGGUGGAGCGGUGAAAUGCGUAGAUAUCAGGAGGAACGCCGGUGGCGAAAGCGAGUCUCUGGACAGUUUCUGACACUGAGGUGCGAAAGCUAGGGGAGCAAACGGG